Molecule: long non-coding RNA, 404 nt
Organism: Podarcis raffonei (Aeolian wall lizard)
Lineage: Eukaryota; Metazoa; Chordata; Lepidosauria; Squamata; Lacertidae
Exons: 2
Source: RefSeq, a predicted model, not a curated record
CACACAAACAAAGAUUUGUGGUCUAACUUUGUGACAUCACAAUGAAUGAUGAGAAGCAGCUCUUCAGGCUGACAUACGGCCAAAAGGCAGCAUUGUCCACAGUCACUACAAGCAAAGCAGAGACAUGGCCGUUUCUCAGAAAUUAAGAUCAUUCCUGACAUAGGCCAUUCCCACUUCAUUGAUGUAAAGCAAGAGAAGGGGACUGAAUCACCUACCCAGGAGAAUCACGAUGCAGAGCAGAAUGGCAACGAGUGCUCCUGUGCUAAGACCCGCUGGAAGGAGCAAAGCUUCAGCAUUGCAAGACUGCAUGUUCCCUCGGCUGUCACAGGUGCACACCCGGAUAGUCAGUGUGCCAGUGCUGCUUUGGAUGGGGUAGUCAUUGUCAAAUAUUACUACUGGCAGGA